RNAcentral lists this transfer RNA (72 nucleotides) under Bos taurus (domestic cattle). It matches the Rfam family "tRNA". From Rfam's summary of the family: Transfer RNA (tRNA) molecules are approximately 80 nucleotides in length. Their secondary structure includes four short double-helical elements and three loops (D, anti-codon, and T loops). Further hydrogen bonds mediate the characteristic L-shaped molecular structure. tRNAs have two regions of fundamental functional importance: the anti-codon, which is responsible for specific mRNA codon recognition, and the 3' end, to which the tRNAs corresponding amino acid is attached (by aminoacyl-tRNA synthetases). tRNAs cope with the degeneracy of the genetic code in two manners: having more than one tRNA (with a specific anti-codon) for a particular amino acid; and 'wobble' base-pairing, i.e. permitting non-standard base-pairing at the 3rd anti-codon position. The record is from Rfam by way of RNAcentral. RNAcentral also lists the same sequence under 1 other name. Lineage: Eukaryota; Metazoa; Chordata; Mammalia; Artiodactyla; Bovidae.
UCCCUGGUGGCUCAGAGGGCAAAGUGUCUGCCUGUAAGGCGGGAGACCUCGGUUCGAUCCCGGGGUUGGGAA